Molecule: ribosomal RNA, 248 nt
Filed under: uncultured bacterium
Lineage: Bacteria
Description: partial 16S ribosomal RNA
Rfam family: Bacterial small subunit ribosomal RNA
Source: RNAcentral
GCAAGUCGAACGGCAGCACGGGUGCUUGCACCUGGUGGCGAGUGGCGAACGGGUGAGUAAUGCAUCGGAACGUACCCAUUAGAGGGGGAUAGCUCGGCGAAAGCCGAAUUAAUACCGCAUAUUAUCUAAGGAUGAAAGCGGGGGAUCUUAGGACCUCGCGCUAAGGGAGCGGCCGAUGUCAGAUUAGGUAGUUGGUAAGAUAAAAGCUUACCAAGCCGACGAUCUGUAGCUGGUCUGAGAGGACGACC